UGUAAAGAAUAAAAGUAAAAUCAUUUAAACAGGUUUAAAUUCCCAUUUUCUUCUCAGAACUCUGAGGCUGUUCAGGAUGAAGAUCAACAGUUUCCAUCACUGAAAGACAACCAGUUUUCUGAACAGGAGCUCAUCUCUGCGCGCUCUGCAUUGCUUCACUCACUGGAGGAUGGAGGUAGUUCAUCUGGAACUUUAGCUGGUUAUUCUGGUGAACUUAGUCCCAGGAAACCAGACCAGGGCAAAGAGUCUGAGGGGUCUGCGGCCAGCUUUGAGGAAAAUCUUAACGCAAAGAAGACAAUCCAGAGGACAGAGGAAAGUGAGGAGGUCAGUCCCACUGGGAGGACUGAUGGGGAAUGUCCUCCAAAACAUAAAUGCUCAGAGGAGUCCUUUCCUUCAGAUGAGAGUUUGAGUGAAGCAUGCAGACUCUGUGACUCUGAUAUCGAGACAAACACAAAUGCUGCUGGAGCUUCUGGGGGGCGUGUCCAUGUUCAGAUAGUUCAGGGAACCAUCGAGACUCAGGAGACAGACGCUCUGGUGUCUCCCAUGGUCGGCUAUAAACACCUGUCUACUCGUCUUGGAAACAUCCUAGAAAACAUAGUUGGCUCUCGUCUCACUGAAAACUUCAUAGAAGCAUCAGGAGACGAAUGGAUCCCGGGGAACUUUGUGCUGGUAGAGGGACUCCCUGGACUUCCUUCCAGCGCAGCGUUCUUCCUCGAUCUCAUUCCAUGGAAUGAAGAUGAAGAUGGAACUGCAGUUCAGAUUCUAAGGUCAGGGAUCAACAACAUCCUAACUUCCUGUGACGACAAAGGCUUCAGAUCUGUGGCUCUUCCUGCACUCGGAGAUGGAAUUGUCCUGGGUUUUCCUAUCAGUUUGGUAGCCAGAGUCAUACUAGAGGAGCUUUAUAAAUAUGAACGUGAGCGAGUCAGCAGCACAGACCUCUCAGUUCGUAUUGUCCUUCUGCCUGAAAACAAAAAAGCUAUAGAGGUGAGAAAAACUGAUUUUGCAGCUUUAAAAGUUUACUAAAUAUUUUACAACUUUUUGCUGUCUUUCUUUACAACAAAAGCGAAAAUAUGUGUCGUGUGUUACUUGAGAGCAUCCUCUACGUCAGACAGUUCUGUAGAUCUGAAGUAAACAGAGACUCCAGACAUUCCAAACCUCAUAUAAACUGAGAAUAGGUCUUAAAAUGACAAAGAAAGAUCAGACAGAAUAGUAAAGGUUCAAAAUGAUUU
This 1229-nucleotide long non-coding RNA is filed under the name Oryzias javanicus (javanese ricefish). Its description in RNAcentral is "lncRNA (ENSOJAG00000022863.1)". The record is from RNAcentral. Lineage: Eukaryota; Metazoa; Chordata; Actinopteri; Beloniformes; Adrianichthyidae.